UACGGAGGGUGCAAGCGUUGUUCGGAAUCAUUGGGCGUAAAGCGCGCGCAGGCGGCGUGCCGAGUCUAUGGGUGAAAUGCCGGGGCUCAACCCCGUGCGUGCCCAGGAUACUGGCGUGCUGGAGACACGUAGAGGCAAGCGGAAUUUCGGGUGUAGCGGUGGAAUGCGUAGAUAUCCGAAAGAACACCGGAGGCGAAGGCGGCUUGCUGGGCGUGAUCUGACGCUGAGGCGCGAAAGCGUGGGGAGCGAACAGG
This 254-nucleotide ribosomal RNA is filed under the name uncultured bacterium. Its description in RNAcentral is "partial 16S ribosomal RNA". It matches the Rfam family "Bacterial small subunit ribosomal RNA", at positions 524 to 776 of the family's 1533-position model. The record is from RNAcentral.